RNAcentral lists this transfer RNA (61 nucleotides) under Ictidomys tridecemlineatus (thirteen-lined ground squirrel). Its description in RNAcentral is "Spermophilus tridecemlineatus (thirteen-lined ground squirrel) tRNA". It matches the Rfam family "tRNA", at positions 6 to 65 of the family's 71-position model. Rfam says of the family: Transfer RNA (tRNA) molecules are approximately 80 nucleotides in length. Their secondary structure includes four short double-helical elements and three loops (D, anti-codon, and T loops). The record is from Rfam by way of RNAcentral. Lineage: Eukaryota; Metazoa; Chordata; Mammalia; Rodentia; Sciuridae.
UGUGGCUCAGCGGUAGAGCACUCGCCUGGAACCUGUGAGGCUCUGAGUUCAAUCCUCAGCA